Telopea speciosissima is the source of this 159-nucleotide long non-coding RNA. RefSeq lists it as uncharacterized. The transcript has 3 exons. The record is from RefSeq and is a predicted model, not a curated record. Lineage: Eukaryota; Viridiplantae; Streptophyta; Magnoliopsida; Proteales; Proteaceae.
AGGUACAGACGGAGAAGUUGAAAAGUCCAGAUCCGGGUGAACAAAUUAUGGGAUCUAAGGAAGAUAGAAGAUGAUGACAGACAGAAAUGCAGAGGAAUUUGGAUCUGAGAGAGAUGUAGAGACUAGAGAGACUGUUUAUUUUUGAGAGAGAGAGAUAGA